UACGAACUGUGCAAACGUUAUUCGGAUUCACUGGCUUAAAGGGUGCGUAGGCGGCCAUGUAAGUAGGGUGUGAAAUCCCCCGGCUUAACCGGGGGAACUGCGCCCUAAAACUGUGUGGCUGGAGUGAGAUAGGGGUGUGUGGAACUUCCGGUGGAGCGGUGAAAUGUGUUGAUAUCGGAAGGAACGCCGGUGGCGAAAGCGACACACUGGGUCUCAACUGACGCUGAAGCACGAAAGCCAGGGAGCGAACGGG
This 253-nucleotide ribosomal RNA is filed under the name uncultured bacterium. RNAcentral's name for it is "partial 16S ribosomal RNA". It matches the Rfam family "Bacterial small subunit ribosomal RNA", at positions 524 to 776 of the family's 1533-position model. The record is from RNAcentral.